UACAGAGGAGCCAAGCGUUGUCCGGAAUCACUGGGCGUAAAGCGCACGUAGGCGGAUUGCUAAGUCAGGGGUGAAAUCCUGGAGCUCAACUCCAGAACUGCCUUUGAUACUGGCGAUCUUGAGUCCGGGAGAGGUGAGUGGAACUGCGAGUGUAGAGGUGAAAUUCGUAGAUAUUCGCAAGAACACCAGUGGCGAAGGCGGCUCACUGGCCCGGUACUGACGCUGAGGUGCGAAAGCGUGGGGAGCAAACAGG
RNAcentral lists this ribosomal RNA (253 nucleotides) under uncultured bacterium. Its description in RNAcentral is "partial 16S ribosomal RNA". It matches the Rfam family "Bacterial small subunit ribosomal RNA", at positions 524 to 776 of the family's 1533-position model. The record is from RNAcentral.